Molecule: long non-coding RNA, 2422 nt
Filed under: Takifugu rubripes (torafugu)
Lineage: Eukaryota; Metazoa; Chordata; Actinopteri; Tetraodontiformes; Tetraodontidae
Description: lncRNA (ENSTRUG00000029530.1)
Source: RNAcentral
CAGACGGUCAGCAUCGGUUUUACCAGCCUUUUCUGAAUAAAUUUCCUGUUCUGAGUUCUGUGUGAAACAAAGAGCAGAUCAAUGCUGUGAGAACAGCAGCGAACUGUGACUUCCUGUCUUUUGUUCCCCAGAUAACGACUGGUCAGCGAUGCUAAUAGGUGUUAAUUCUUCUUCUGGUCUUCCAGCUGUGGCAUCACAGGAAGGCGACAGUCACCAGAACAAAAGCUGCAGCUCAGCUUUUUCUUUCCCACCAGCAGCUCUGACGGUGACAAACAUCUUUGCUGUGAAGUGAAAAUACCGAAGUUUCUAAUCUCCGAGAAACAUCUGGAGCGUUACAUCUCCUUCGCUCCCACUGCUCCCAAACCUCCCAGUAUUGAACCAGAUAAAUGGAAUUGUUGCAUGUCUCACAAAUUCUCCUGGUGAUUAUCUAAGCAUCUAAAUAAGGUAUUUUAUGACAGCAACGAUGAUGUCAAAAUGUGCCGUUUCCCUGAAAAAAGAAUAGUCUAUUGUUCACAGCCAGAGAGAAGGAACAAUUAGAAGGAAAACAGCUGGACCAGGUCUCCAGGACCAGUCUAGAAAGUCCGGAGGUGUCAGUGACCGAAGGCCUUCAAUGACCACCGUGGUGCCUUCAAUGACCCUCGUGGUGUAUUCAAACACAGAUUUGUAGAGGAAAGUUUUUUAGGAAUAUUGUCCCCCCCACCCCCCUCAACUUGGAUUAUGUGGGAAUAAUCUUGGCAGGAAAAGGAGACCCCCCCACCACCACCAUUGCUCCUCCUCCUCAUUUCUCUUUCUUUCUUUUUUUCUUUCUUUCUCUCCAAGUUCAUUCCCAGCUCAGUCAUUGAGGGCAUCACACCUCCUCUCUGCCCUUCUUUCAUCCAUCCAUUCCCUUUCUCAUCAUGUCUUCUCUCACUUUUCUGUCUGUUUAUCUAAGCGGAAUCUCACUGUUCCUGCAACUGACUGCUGGUUUCCAGCUUCAGAGUGAAGACGUCACUCCCACUCCCGACUAUGACUCUGACUACAAGGCCACCUUUGAUUACAGCUUCUUCAGUCAGUCUCACACACACACACACACACACACACACACACACACACACACACACACACACACACACACACACAGACACGGAUGUCCUACAGCUUACUUACAGGUGUGUCUUAAGGUAACGCCAGCAGUGAAGACUUGGACAAGUUCAGUGAACAAUUUGAGGACAUCACCGUUACCAUGGCAACCACUCCAGAAACAACAGAAAGGGGCAGGAUUAAUGUUCACAAUGCUGCACCACAUCCAGAGUUUCUGGUAAGUGCACACAAGCUCAGUUAAGCUGAGCUAAAUUUAGUCCAGUGUGGAGUUAAAGGGGUUUUAUUUCCAGUUUGUAUUGAGUCUGUUGUGUAAAUUGUGUCUGCAGGAGGUCCGAACGCUUCUCUGGACUCUCUUGGUGCUGAUCACACAACAGCUGCAACACACACUCUAGGAGCAGCACCGGGUCAGCGGGUCAGGAGAAUUUAGGAGGAGUCAUCUUAAGGAAGCUUCUCUCUGAUUGGCUCCUUUCUCUUUUUUGUUUGAUCCUGAACCAAUCAGUGAGGCUCACCUGUUCCGAAGUGGGCGGGGCCACCGGCAGGUGUCCAGCUGGACAAGCCACACAGCUUCACGCGCAGCACAGUUCACCACGGCAACGUUUGGCACUGAAUCACUUUUUCUUCUAACCAAUCAGUUUCUGCCUCCUCUGGAUUAGUGGAUCUGGUGGAUUAACAUGGACGCUCAUUCACGCUAAAGAAAAGUUAGAGAGAAAAGAAAAGGAAGUAUUUUCAUGUGUAUGAAAUAAAUCUGAUCUUUGCACAUGAAUCUGACCUGAAAUCAGAAAUCUGUGAGAAGGCAGCGCUGUUUAUUACACACAAGCUGAUCUUUUAUUACCUUUACUCCAGUAAAUUAGCUUGGAUUCAGCUCUGUAGUUAACUUAUUUGUAAAAGCGUAUUGUUACACUUCUGUUCGACAUCAUAGUCAAUAAUGAAACAGUCAUAUUUAAGAGUUUCAAUCUUCGAUGUUUGAGGUUUAAACCUGUGAAAUUGCUGUUAAACUGUUCACCACUGACUCACAUGGAUGCUGCCAGUAACCGAACGUCUGAGGACCCUGGAAUAACGAUCCAUCAAUCAAUCAGCCAAUCGACUUCUGCUGCAGUUCAUCAAUAUCCAAUGAGUUUCCAGGAAAUAAUCAAACAAGCACUUUAUCUUUGCCUUUCACAAUAAAAUCUAUUAAAAGUUCUGAAUCAUUUUCUCCUUUUAACCAAUACAUUUACUUUCUCUGACCCAUUAGAACCAGUCCCCUGACCCUCUCUGACCCAGUAGAACCAGUCUCCUGACCCUCUCUGACCCAGUAGAACCAGUCCCCUGACCCUCUCUGACCCAGUAGAACCAGUCUCCUGAC